Long non-coding RNA from Xenopus laevis (African clawed frog), 1723 nucleotides. RefSeq lists it as uncharacterized. Lineage: Eukaryota; Metazoa; Chordata; Amphibia; Anura; Pipidae. The transcript is spliced from 24 exons. The record is from RefSeq and is a predicted model, not a curated record.
GUUGACGCCUGCAACUAUCAUAUAGUUGCCCUUUAGGUUAUCCUCGACAUGGACUGUGAUCUAGAAACCCUACAGGGAGACAGUUUUGAUGCUUGUCAUUGCAGGUGUACUAAAGGAUUGACAGACUAAAAUUGUAUCAGACUACAUGCAGUUAUGCUGCUCAAGUGGAGUUUGUGGGGCUACUGGCAAGAUCCUAAACAUCUGCUGCAGUCUGAGUUCUGAAGGGACAAAUUAUUAUAGUAAAGAAAAUCUGGUAACUUGCUGGUCACAAGUUCUGGGGCAAAGCAUGAAAAAUAGACUUGUAUUCUCAAGGUUUCACAUGAUGCUGUUUUGAUGACCUCUAAACAAACUCAUCGCGGCAACAUCUUUGCAUGCGCACUUCUAAUUUACCAGACUCUGUGCGUCUUGCAUCAGGCAGAUUUGGCUGCAACUUAUCUCACUGACUGGGUCCCAAAACCGAAGUAAAAAUGCUGCUGAUGAAAUGUCUUUACGGGUACACUCAGUAUCUGCAGGUGUAAAACUGUGGUGCUGGAGUUCUUUAAAAGGUGUACUAAAGGAUUGACAGAUUAAAGUUGUGGUGCCGACUACAUGUAGUUUGCUGAAGUGGAGUUUGUGGGGCUACUGGCAAGGUCCUAAACAUCUGCUGCAGUUUGACUUCUGAAGGGACAAAUCAUUAUAGUAAAGGUAAUUACUACUUGUGUUCAGAAUCUGCACAACUCUGUUCACUUGGUUUCAGAUAGAAAGAAAUGGGGAAAGGUCUGUCUGAACUAUUUCCUGACCCUAACCUGCCCUGCUCCAGACUGCGCUUCCGGGGUCCUUUUACAGCCCCGCCGAUGACAUCCCUAAAGGGGAGGGGCAAGCAGACUUGAGACUAUAAAAAGCCAGCAUUUGAAGGUGGUGGUGAGAGCAGAGCUCAAGCCUUACCCGCGAGGAGCAGUGCGAGGUCGACCCGAACCCGCCGACCCACGGGUAUCGGUCAGCCUGCACAUCGGUCAGCCUGCACAUCAUGAGUUGCCGACCCUGUUAACCGAAAUGGAUACAUUUAGUUGAUACAUUUCUAAUCUUUGUCCCUGCUGAGCAGAAUCCCUGGCUUUCAUUAAAGCAAAUCUGUUAACUUUCUGGUCACAAGUUCAUUGGCAAAGAACAAGACUGAUGUGCUCAAGGGGUCACAUGAUACGGAUUUGAUAACAUCUAAAUAAACUCACUGCAGAAACGUCGGCCAUUUCAACGGUGCAUUGGACUGACUUGGAUCCGAAAACAGGAGCUCAAAUGCUGCUGAUAAAAUGGCAAUGGGUACUCUCCAUCUGCAGGUGUAAAACUGGUGCUGGAGUUCUGUAAAAGGUUGACACAUCUAUCAGCUGCAGCUACCAUAUAGUUGCCUAUUCUCCUUAAGACAUGGGCUGUGAUAUGGCAACCCUGCAGACAGUCUUGAUGUUUCUCAUUGCAGGUGUACUAAAAGAUUGACAGACUAAAGUUGUGGUGCCAGACUACAUACAGUUAUGAUGCUGAAGUGGAGUUUGUGGGGCUACUGGAACAACUGCUGCAGUCUGACUUCUGAAGGGACAAAUCAUUAUAGUAAAGCUUGUGUUCAGAAUCUGCACAACUCUGCAAAUCUUAACUUGCUGGUCACAAGUUCUGGGGCAAAGCAUGAAAAAGACUGAUGUGCUCAAGGUGUCGCCUGAUUCCUGUUUUGAUAACCUCUAAAUAAACUGAUUUUGACUGA